UUUUCUCAUUAUAAAAUAUUUUGUAGUUCUUUUUUUUAUAUACAUGUUGGAUAAACGGACGGGAGACGCACCUGUACUGCCCAUGGACAUCUGCAAUACCGAAGAGUAUGACAGGGUGAGAGUCUCACGGUGUGCGCGCGAGUGGGUCGCAGGGCGGCGGCGCAGGCGAGGCGGCAGAAGGCGGAGGCGGGGCGGCGGCACCACAGCAGCGCCAGCCCCAGGUUGUGCGCGGCGCGCGCGCUCAGCGGCGCCACCGUCGCCGCGCGGGACAGGCAGGUCAGCGCCUGCCGCGCGACCGCACCAGCAUAGCGGCUAGCGCUAGUGCUGCAGCAUGCUGCAUAGGCUGCUGGGAUAGUGCUUCGCCUAGCAAUUGAAAGGCACGGCGAGGAUCGCCUGCCCUGAGACUCAGUGCCCCUGCCGCAGCUAGAGUAUCAGCGCCGCAAGCAUGACUCCUAAGAUCAAAUAUCUGAAGUCGAGCCAGUUUGAAAUGAAAUGGUGUAUAUUGAAAAAAAAGCAGUGCGACUGCAUUAAGUAGAUGACAUUAUUACAUUAUAAAAAAUUAUUUUGAUGAACUUGGCAAACAGCUUAACAAUUUUACAAAAAAAAAUGUAGCACAAAUAGUGUUUGAUUAUUUGUGUGUAGAAAUGGAUAAAAUAAGUACUGUCUAUUACAAUGGCAGGAGAAGUAAGGUUAGACUUUGGCCUCGAAUUGACAUGACGUCAUAUGCUAUUUACUAUCGAUGUAAGUUGUUAUUUGAACUUUGGAAAUAAGUGAAAGUGAUAAUAACUAUUCAUUAUUGACGUGUGAUUAUAACUUUCUUUUAUAUUAGGCAUUUAUUAUCUUGAUAUGGAAAUGUAAUUCGAAAGAAUAAAUGUCAAUUAACAAAAAGAGCUUUCGGCAUGAAUUUAGGCUAUAGGGCAAAAGCAUUCGGGUAGAUAAAUGCAAGCGAUAGGUGAUAUAAUGCAUCUAACGCGAGAGCGUGGUCGUAGGCCGCCAGCGCGCCGGGCACGUCGCCGGCCGCCAGCAGCAGCCGCGCCAGCAGCGCCGCCGCGCGCUCCCCGCCGCCCGCGCCCUGCGCCGCGCGCGCCCACUCCACGCCCGCGCCCCGCACGCCCCCCGCGCCCGCCACCGCACUCGCACAUUCCGCUGCAUUUGAGAUAAUGGAACCAAAUGACCAUCAUCCCAUUUUCGAACGCAGGCAAACACCACUGACUUUUCAUGUGCUUAAUUCGUAUUCAUAAUCCGAUAGUGGAAUAUUGAUGACCUCCGGACCGAUUUCGGCCACGUCCUCAUGGACGUAACUCACCAGGCAUUAUAUUUACUGUACUUGUAAUUUAUAUAUUGACAAUAAGCCAGUGCAGUGCCACCGUCUGACUCAAAUCGCAUUUUAACAACUACCGACCUAAAGCACAAUAGAUUUCUGGAUCUGGCUGCUUAGAUAAUUUAUCUGCUUCCAAAUAAGCUUCCAGUGCCAGUUGAAAACGACCUUGGCGAUAUCUGAAACAAAAUGUUUAUAAUUAUGCUCCUCAUUUUUAUCAAUUUGUAAAUAAUCAACUUUUUCAUAAUAAAUAUAAUAUUAACUUUUUAAUAUAAAAUUUACUUUUAACUAAACAAUUCUAAUAUUACUAACAAGCACUUAGCUACUUGUUUUAAGGGUUCUGGAUCCUGCGGCUGUAGCCGAAUACAGCUGUGGAACUUAUCCACUGCCUCUUGAAGUCUCCCUGCGUCAGCCAAAACUGCACCCUGUACAUAUUUUUAAAAAUCUGAUAUUUAUCAGAACCUCAAUGUAAAUCGAAAUGUUAGGCUAUGCGUGGUUUUAUAAACCAUUAUAAGUAAUAUAACUAUUGUUUGACCUAUAACUAGAAUGAAUGAGCUACAAUUUAAAAAUACAACUUUGCGAGUUAACGAAAGAUAUAUCAUGGUCAUUAAUAUUUUUUGCUUUUCUUACCUUUAUAUAGUACGCAAAUCUGU
Molecule: long non-coding RNA, 1971 nt
Organism: Nymphalis io (European peacock)
Lineage: Eukaryota; Metazoa; Arthropoda; Insecta; Lepidoptera; Nymphalidae
Exons: 3
Source: RefSeq, a predicted model, not a curated record